ACGUCGCCUUGCUGGGCCAGGCGGAGCCGCGACAGCCGGGGCGGGAGAGCGCGGCGGCGCCCUAACACUCUAUCAAGCACCCGGUGCAGCAGCCUAAUGGUGUCUUUCAUCAGAGGGGCGGCUCCUCCAGCAGCUGCGCAUGCGUGGUGACACCGCACUCGGCACCCUCCAGGCAUCCAUUGUGCUUAGUUAAGCGACCGUGCGUAGGCUGCUGGAUUCACCUGCGUUAGUCCCCUGCCUCCGGGUGUCGUCCCCCGUGGAGUGAAUGUGGAAACCAGCGCGCGCUGCACGGGGCCUGCGGGAGCCCAGGGAGGCGACUCACGGGCAGGGCCUGUGUCCAGGGCCGUGCCGAACCCAAGGGCUGACCCUUGCGUAGCCUUCCCGGAAGCGCGUACUUCCUUGCAUCCCCGCGCCCAGUGGGAUGAUUUGCGGUGCUGUGUUUGUCCGUGACUACAUUUGAUGUGCGCCUGUCACGUGAGCAUCUCGUCCUGAACACAGCAAAUAAGAGCCACAUCCCUCUUCUGCUAUCGGGAGUUCUUCCCGACACAGGAAGUCGCACAGAGAGAGGGGGCACGCACCCCUACUCGAUCUGCUAGAAACUGGGAAAAAUAAAAGCAGCCCUGAUGACACUGACGGCUGUUAGAACGGGACAACGGGACUCCUGCACAGCGCAGCAGGCAAUGCGGGGUGAGUGACCCCAGGAGACCGCGCAGGGGCCUGUCCUAUGGUGAGGUCUACACUGGCCACGAGCUCCCCCGACCCACAGGGAGGCAGCUGUCCACCCACAGACCGCGUGCAAAGGCUGUAACAGGCUGGGUGAACUGAAAGAUAAAAAGAAGCAACGUGGAGGUUGGAGUUUCAUAAAUAUUUGCAAAGUCCUGCUGGAAAGGGAGCCAUAUACAUCACACUUGCAGUCAGCUGUGUCCCUGUGCGGGGCCCUCGGUGCUAAUCGGCCGUCCGACACCACUCACCUGAGGCCUCACCGGAACGUGCGGUGGGCAGCUGGCUACACACAGAAUUCCCUUGGAGAAAGAUGUUCUAUCAGUGUGUGAGUGCCUUUUAAUCAAUAAUUUUAAAAUUAAAAUACAAUUAAACUUCUGCAAGAGCUGGGAUUAAAUUUAAAGGCUUUAUAUUUUAAUGCUAAAAUACCUAAUUUUCACUGGGACAGGAAAAUCAUACAUCAUGGGUUUGCGUUUCAGCCAAAUCUGUCUCAGCGUUUACAAAGAGAUAGUUGCGUGCGUAUUCAAUUUUUCUAACCUGAAAAGGAAGAAAAUAAUUUAGUCAGUUUUUUUAAAAUGCUGGGCAAGCCUUGCCCUGUUCACUGUGGCGCAGGGGCAGGAGAGGGGGCGGUGGGUCUGUCUCCGGGCGUGUGGCUCCCCCAGUGGGCAGCCCUGGCCUGGGUCUUGCUCUGGGCUCUGAGGUAGGGCGUCAGCCACAGACGGUCUCCCAGCGUGCACAGCCCAAAACCUCCCACGUGCUCCAUGACAUGCUGGCCCGGUGACCGCCGUCACUUCCCACCAGGAUCUUGGUUUCUGUCCAUCUUGUGGCCAUGGGAGAGCGGCUGUCGCUGGGUUUCAGUGGACGCUGCCCCUGAGCCCUAGACCGGGAGUCAGGCGCAGUGAGGGGGGAGGGGGGAGACGCUGGCUGCCCCGGGAGGGUUUUCCUGAGUCUGACGCAGUGAGAACUCUGGAUU
This 1693-nucleotide long non-coding RNA is filed under the name Oryctolagus cuniculus (rabbit). Its description in RNAcentral is "lncRNA (ENSOCUG00000036098.1)". The record is from RNAcentral. Lineage: Eukaryota; Metazoa; Chordata; Mammalia; Lagomorpha; Leporidae.